Molecule: ribosomal RNA, 472 nt
Filed under: uncultured bacterium
Lineage: Bacteria
Description: bacterial SSU rRNA
Rfam family: Bacterial small subunit ribosomal RNA
Source: RNAcentral
UGGGGAAUUUUGGACAAUGGGCGCAAGCCUGAUCCAGCAAUGCCGCGUGCAGGAAGAAGGCCUUCGGGUUGUAAACUGCUUUUGUACGGAACGAAAAGGCUCUGGUUAAUACCUGGGGCAUAUGACGGUACCGUAAGAAUAAGCACCGGCUAACUACGUGCCAGCAGCCGCGGUAAUACGUAGGGUGCAAGCGUUAAUCGGAAUUACUGGGCGUAAAGCGUGCGCAGGCGGUUUUGUAAGACAGGCGUGAAAUCCCCGGGCUCAACCUGGGAAUUGCGCUUGUGACUGCAAGGCUGGAGUGCGGCAGAGGGGGAUGGAAUUCCGCGUGUAGCAGUGAAAUGCGUAGAUAUGCGGAGGAACACCGAUGGCGAAGGCAAUCCCCUGGGCCUGCACUGACGCUCAUGCACGAAAGCGUGGGGAGCAAACAGGAUUAGAUACCCAAGUAGUCCCUGAGCGGGCUGGCAAGGCGCAU